This 497-nucleotide ribosomal RNA is filed under the name uncultured bacterium. RNAcentral describes it as "partial 16S ribosomal RNA". It matches the Rfam family "Bacterial small subunit ribosomal RNA", at positions 28 to 507 of the family's 1533-position model. The record is from RNAcentral.
GAUGAACGCUGGCGGCGUGCCUAAUACAUGCAAGUCGAGCGAACGGACGAGAAGCUUGCUUCUCUGAUGUUAGCGGCGGACGAGUGAGUAACACGUGGAUAACCUACCUAUAAGACUGGGAUAACUUCGGGAAACCGGAGCUAAUACCGGAUGAUAUUUUGAACCGCAUGGUUCAAAAGUGAAAGACGGUCUUGCUGUCACUUAUAGAUGGAUCCGCGCUGCAUUAGCUAGUUGGUAAGGUAACGGCUUACCAAGGCAACGAUGCAUAGCCGACCUGAGAGGGUGAUCGGCCACACUGGAACUGAGACAAGGUCCAGACUCCUACGGGAGGCAGCAGUAGGGAAUCUUCCGCAAUGGGCGAAAGCCUGACGGAGCAACGCCGCGUGAGUGAUGAAGGUCUUCGGAUCGUAAAACUCUGUUAUUAGGGAAGAACAUAUGUGUAAGUAACUGUGCACAUCUUGACGGUACCUAAUCAGAAAGCCACGGCUAACUACGUG